Chondromyces apiculatus DSM 436 is the source of this 65-nucleotide non-coding RNA. The record is from Rfam. NCBI's taxonomy places the organism in Bacteria, Pseudomonadati, Myxococcota, Polyangiales, Polyangiaceae.
AAGGUGGCCCUGCCAGGGGCCCCGGACGAGACGCGCCGUACCCGGUCAGGACAAGACGACGCACG